UAACACAUGCAAGUCGAGCGGUAACAGAAAGUAGCUUGCUACUUUGCUGACGAGCGGCGGACGGGUGAGUAAUGCUUGGGAACAUGCCUUGAGGUGGGGGACAACAGUUGGAAACGACUGCUAAUACCGCAUAAUGUCUACGGACCAAAGGGGGCUUCGGCUCUCGCCUUUAGAUUGGCCCAAGUGGGAUUAGCUAGUUGGUGAGGUAAUGGCUCACCAAGGCGACGAUCCCUAGCUGGUUUGAGAGGAUGAUCAGCCACACUGGGACUGAGACACGGCCCAGACUCCUACGGGAGGCAGCAGUGGGGAAUAUUGCACAAUGGGCGCAAGCCUGAUGCAGCCAUGCCGCGUGUGUGAAGAAGGCCUUCGGGUUGUAAAGCACUUUCAGUCAGGAGGAAAGGUUAGUAGUUAAUACCUGCUAGCUGUGACGUUACUGACAGAAGAAGCACCGGCUAACUCCGUGCCAGCAGCCGCGGUAAUACGGAGGGUGCGAGCGUUAAUCGGAAUUACUGGGCGUAAAGCGUACGCAGGCGGUUUGUUAAGCGAGAUGUGAAAGCCCCGGGCUCAACCUGGGAACUGCAUUUCGAACUGGCAAACUAGAGUGUGAUAG
RNAcentral lists this ribosomal RNA (610 nucleotides) under bacterium 4753K4-B20. RNAcentral describes it as "bacterial SSU rRNA". It matches the Rfam family "Bacterial small subunit ribosomal RNA", at positions 49 to 654 of the family's 1533-position model. The record is from RNAcentral.